This is a long non-coding RNA of Homo sapiens (human), 1820 nucleotides long. Ensembl annotates it as GUSB pseudogene 5. Its record names the gene GUSBP5. Lineage: Eukaryota; Metazoa; Chordata; Mammalia; Primates; Hominidae. The record is from Ensembl.
GAGGAAAGCCCAGCGACGCCGGGCCAGCGCAUUCUUAUUUUAUGUAUGAGCAAACUAUGGAAUGGAAAAGAGAUUAUGAGUUAUUACUUGAUUUGAUUUGCCCUAAGUGUUUUUUAAACGUAUGGAUUUAGCGCCAACAUUUAAAAAGAAGGUAUAUUUUAAUUAAAAAUCAGGAAUUGAUUUAAUUUAAAAUUUGGCUCCUCUUACAGGAAGAUCUGGCAAGAGUUAGCGUGCAGUUCUACAUUGUGACAAUUCAUGAGAGCUAAGGACUGGCUGUCUCUUGGGACAAAUAGGCUUUCUUGAGUCUGAUGCCCUGGAAUACACUUGUGUCAGUGACAAAUGCUGCUUUGCUGUGCUACACCGAGUACAAGGUCGUGUCCAGUGAUUCAAGUUUGACACACCACACCACGGUGGAUGUGCCUUUCAUGACGCAUCUUCUCAGCAGCACUAGAAGAUACAUCCAAAGUCCUGUGAGCAAGGUCUGUGGUAUCUGUUUAUUAUGGCAGCCCAGUGAGACUAAGACAGGCCAUCAAAAGACGUGAACGUUUUGGACCUUCUCUUGGGCCCUAGUAAACAGAAAUCAGGCUACUUAUUAAACUAAACCACGUUCUGAACUGUUACUGCUACUGGAAACCAGUCCCGAUCCAGACCCCAAAAGAGGAUUCUUGGAUCUUGCACAAGAAAGAAAGGAGAGGGACCUGUAGUCAUUACCUUCAAGGAACCUAAAUCCUGGUGUCUUUAUGGUUAUGGGUGGCAUAUAAUAUACAGACACAGUGAAGGAGUGAGAUGUGAAGGUGCUCUGUCAUUGCCUCAGUCAAGACUUUCAUGGUACAUUGGAAGAAAGAGAAGCGUGAACAAAUUGCAUGAUACUUGAGGUCAUGCUGUGUACCUGUAUUGAACAAGAAUAAGGGAAGAAAGCUGGGAACCUGGAUCUCCCAUAUAUUGGAAGUUUUGUAAAAACCUUGAGGGUCCCUUCCACUACAUAUGGGGAUUAUGGGAACUGCAAUUCAAGAUGAGAUUUGAGUGAGGACACAGCCAAACCACAUGGUUUUAGAACAUUGACGAAGAGAGAAGACAACCCACUUUGCCAUAUAUGCCCAUGGUCUUACCAAGGCUAGAGUACAGUGGCACAGUCAUAGCUCACUGCAGCCUUAAACUCCCAGACUCAGGCAAUGGAUCCGAUCCUCCCACCUCAGCCAGCCUCCCAAGUAGCUGAGACUACAGGAAGAUCUGGCAAGAGUUAGCAUGCAGGUCUACAUUGUGACAAUCCAUGAGAGCUAAGGACUGGCUGUCUCUUGGGACAAAUAGGCUUUCUUGAGUCUGGAUGUCCGCUCUGCUUGUCUUACCGCAUGAGAGAGUGCAGAUGUUCCUGAAAGCAUCUUUGCGUGGAUUUGCUUGAAGCGAGAUGUGAGAGAAGGGGCAAAGCUCGAAGGGAGCUGCUAGAGAGAGAGGAAAGCAGCUGGACAGGGCUUUCCUGAUGACUGAAAUAAAUGAAUAAGUCUUCAGGGACCAGAUGGGCGCAGUGGCUCACGCCUGUAAUCCCAGCACUUUGGGAGGCUGAGGUGGGUGAAUCACGAGGUCUGGAGUUUGAGACCAGCCUGUCCAAUAUGGUGAACCCCCGUCUCUAUUUAAAAUACAAAAAUUAGACUGGCGUGGUGGCACACGCCUGUAGUCCCAGCUACUCGGGAGGCUGAAGCAGAAGAAUCGCUUAAACCUGGGAGGCAGAGGUUGCAGUGAGCCAAGGUUGUUGAGCCACUGCACUCCAGCCUGGGUGACAGAUCGAGACCCCAUCUCAAAAAAAAAAAAAAAAAAAAAAGAAA